RNAcentral lists this ribosomal RNA (253 nucleotides) under uncultured bacterium. Its description in RNAcentral is "partial 16S ribosomal RNA". It matches the Rfam family "Bacterial small subunit ribosomal RNA", at positions 524 to 776 of the family's 1533-position model. The record is from RNAcentral.
UACGAAGGGUGCAAGCGUUACUCGGAAUUACUGGGCGUAAAGCGUGCGUAGGUGGUGAGUUAAGUCUGUCGUGAAAGCCCCGGGCUCAACCUGGGAAUGGCGAUGGAAACUGGCUCGCUUGAGUAUGUAAGAGGUGAGCAGAACUUAUGGUGUAGGGGUGAAAUCCGUUGAUAUCAUAGGGAAUACCAAAUGCGAAGGCAGCUCACUGGUACAUUACUGACGCUGAGGCACGAAAGCGUAGGUAGCGAAUGGG